RNA transcript from Prosopis cineraria, 5293 nucleotides. RefSeq lists it as uncharacterized. The transcript has 8 exons. The record is from RefSeq and is a predicted model, not a curated record. Lineage: Eukaryota; Viridiplantae; Streptophyta; Magnoliopsida; Fabales; Fabaceae.
UCCGUUCCUUUCCCUCCUUUGUCUUUGUCUAUCGCUUCUUUCCCUCCUCUCUAUUCUCUGAAAUUUCUGGAACCCCAAGCUCUUCAUUCUCCAUCUUAGUUGCGCCACCGCCAGAUCUUAGUAUCUGGUCAUCGGAGAAAAUAUGGCGGAGUCUUCUUCUCCGACGCCUGAGCAACCCUUGUGGAGUUAUCUCAGCUGACGAAUUGCAAAGAUGUCAUAACAAAAAUGGGUUUGCUGUUGUGAUUUUCAAGGUAUAAUUUCCCAUACAUACUUUGUUCGUUCUUUGCCAAUGACCACUAUUUUAAGCGUGGGGUAUCCAUUAUCAGUAUCACCAAUAGGGUCUUUAUUAUAUGAUUGAGCAUUGUUGGGGUCCAUUGAGUAGAAAUAUAAGCAUCCCUUCAACACCAACGGUAUCUUGCUAAAAAAUGAGAAAAUCCUGGAAGUCCUUGAAAUGAUGAUCCUAGCCAACAAAAAGUCAAAUACUGAAAGACAUUUAAUGAGUUCACAACGAUGCAAAUUUAGUUGGAUUGACCUUUCAUUGAUUGGCCCUUAAUAUCCCUAUAACUCUUUCAUUUGCCAUGAUUGCAUUUUUUUCAGCAUUUUGGGAAGUCCAAUUUUGCAAAUUGACCUUUCUGUGUAUAAUGAUUUCCAUAUCUUUGAAGUCUUGGUAUUAGCCUCCAUAUCCACGUGAGACAUUUAUUGCCUUCUGCAAUUGAUUAUAUGCUCUGUUUCUACUGUUGCCUCUUGAGAAUAAUAAUUAUUAAAACAAGUUUUGGAGUAAUGAAUUAAAUAAAAUGCAAGUACACUAAUGUAGCUAAAAAUUAAGGGAUUUUCUGUACAAAUUAGAACCUUGGUAAUCUAUCCAGUGGUAGCAUGUUCCCUAUUUGAAAGCAUGAGUUUUCUAUGGUUAUUUUAUUCCAAAGUAUUAUUAAUUUUACCAAGCUUCCCAAUAUUCUCCUCUUUUUUUAUUUAUUUCUUUUUAGAGUUAUGAACUUCAGUCUCAUUAACUUUAUUUAUGGCAAAUUGGUCCUUCCCUUUAUGAUUUUGGUUUAUGAAAGGCUCUUCUUUAGGAGACAUAGAAUCACGUGUGUUGUUAGAGAUGAACAUGAUCUUAAUAGCUCAAUAUUCCCCUGUGAAUAGAGACCUAAAUGUGUUGUUGAAUAUGCAGGGAUGUCUUAAACAAAUUUUGCUUUUGCUGUACGAGUUUUUUGGGACCAAAUUUUGAAAUGAUAUGAAAUCUUCUGAAAGUGUGUUAUAUUUAACUCCAAAGUGUUUUUUUCCAGGUUAAAUCACUGCAUUUUGUUCAAUAAAAAAUAACUGACCUUCUUUGUCAAUGUACAUUAGCUCAGAGAUGCAAAUGCUGAGAGAGAGAGAGAGAGAGAGAGAGUGACUUUUCAGACGAAAAGAGCAUGCGAAGUCUGACCAGAGAUAUAAAGAAAUUUAAAUGAUAAAUUUUCAUUCAAAAAUUGGCAUGAGGUACUCAUUAAAAAAAAAAAGAGAAAACUCACUUUUUCUUUCUCUAUAAUUUCUGUUAUUUUCCUCUUAGGUGCAAGAGUUUUGGCAGACUCCAAUUUCCACUAUUAUAAAAUUGAAUAGUUUGCUUUAUUAUAAAAGUCCUUGCCUUUUAAUAUGAUCUAUAUGUGGCAAUUAGUGAUUAAAUUUUUCUGUCAAUUUAACACACAAGGGAUACUAUGUGCUGUAGCUAUUUGGAAAAGAGACAAAGAGUGGGAUUUUGGUUUGUAUAGGAAGGAACUCUGCAAUGAUUCUAGCCUUGAUUUUGGUUUAUAGUCACGUGCUUAUUACAGUUUGUAGUCCAAAAUUUACUCAUCACGGAUAAAGUUAGAUUUUGGUUUUUUCCCUCUUUGUUGGGAUUUUGCAACAACUCUAGGUACAUCAUUUAUGACGGGAAGCUAAUCUUUUUGUGUAUGGCUGUACUCUUGCUCAUUUCAAUGUUACUUCAGUGAUUUUUGUUCAGUCAGCCACAUUUUAGACCUCACUUUAAUCUAUUUUCCUUCACCUGUUUCCAUAUAACAUUUGCAUUUAAAUAUUUUACAAUUAAUAUUGCAAUAUAAAUAAAUAUUACAGAUGAUUAGUUACACUUUUGCUGCCAUUUAUCAUUAGCAUUCCUAUAAGUAUUAUACUGCUAUUCCUGUGAUGUUCUUUUAUCAGUUUAAUUACUCUUUUGCUGCCAUAUCAUUGAAAGUGUAGAUUUACUUUUUCUGAAUUGAAAUAUGUUUAAGUUUAAGGUAAACUAGCAAUUCAAAGAAUUGGUGCCAGCCUUUUGUUUAGGCAUUGGAGAAUGCAAUUGGAAUCUCAAUGGCCAUAACCAAGCAUGAUCUUAAUGUCACUGUUUUCUUUUUUCUUUUUUCUUUUCUUUUUAUUAAUGUCACUGUGUUUUCUACUUCAUGCUUAUAUGAAGUUAAGCUUCUAAAGUUAACAACAUAUAUAAACCAACAGUUCAAGAUGCGUACAUCGAUUGAACUAAUCAUGAAAGGAAUUAAUUAUAAACUUGGAAUGAUUACUUUCUGAUUUCCAAGUUAAAUAUAUAAAUAUAUAUAUAUAUAUAUAUCCAUUGUGUGAAAUUUGUGCUUAACAUAUACAUAGAAAUUCAUAACUUGCUAUGAAUUGUGUGCCGUAGGCUAUAAUGCAUAAUUUGUCAAUAGACUAUCAUAUGUUGGUAUGUAGCAAUGCACACUUUUCAAGGCAGUUCUAAAGGUAUUGUUGUUUCCUUACUUUAUAGUCAAGACCUUAUUAUAUGAUAUAUUAAUAUAAAAGAAUUUUGUUUUUAUGUUAGAUUUGUAUAUACACUCUUUCCUAUUAUGGCAUAAGCUUGCAGUAUUUUUUGCCUGAUUCUUUAUUUGUUUUUUCAGGAUAUUUUAAAAUGCAUGGUCAUACCUAACAUUUAGUGUAAUGGUUGAAGUCUUAAAAAACUUUUUUUAUUUGUAAGUUGAAUUUGAAAAUAAAUAACUUUAUACUUAAUAAAUUACACUUUUUUUUUUUUAAUCUUCUUGCACGGGUAGUAAAGUCUUGGCCAUGUAUCUAAGAAAAAUAUAAAAAAAAGAUAUCAAAAGAGUAUUUUUGUCUAGAUGUGAAAAGCAAGUGAUUGUGAGAGAGUAUUUAGCUAUUGCACAUCAUAUACAUCUAAGUUCACUCAACUCUCCUACCAAUGAGAGAUUGAGCAAAUAAUGUGGCUUUUAUAGAUUUGAUUAUAUAGGAAAAAUUACACCUCAUCAAAGAUCAAAGGGAAUGUGAUGGGAAAAUCAAUUAAUUGUUACAAGACUGAUUCUAAUUCUUGUAUAAAGGUUUUCUAGAGUAUGAAUCUUGGCUUAAUUAAGAUGAAGUUGUCAAGUUUUGUUGUCCUACAACUCUUAAAACACAAUUUUAUUAUUAAUUAUAAUAAAUAUUUGAUCAUUAUGUAAGUCUAACCUUUUCAUGCAGUACAUGAGGAGUAAAUGCUUGAAUAAUGUUUGUUUUGGAGCCUAUGGAGAUUUUUAUUUUUUAUUAAAUUGAAGAGGUACUUUUGGUCCAUAGAAGGCAAAGGGAUGAGAUGAGGGGAUCCGUUCUUAAAUAUGAAAGUAAUAUUGUAAUAUCAUUCAUCUGAGGUUUUUUGUUUUUUUUUUUUUUUUUUGGGUAGGCUAAACAUAUUUGCUCCAGAAGUCUUAAUUGCAUCCAAUAAUAUUAUAAGUUAGUCUGUACAUAAUUUUUGCUAUGGCCAUAUCUCCUGCAAGUUUUUUUUUUUUUUUUUAUGGUUUUAUGCUUGAUAAUUGUGGUUUCAUUGUCUUUUAGUUCUUCCUUAGAUUUUAUUCAUAAUUUAAUAAACUGUUAGUUAUAAUCUCCCUAUGCAUCGCAUGGGUAGUAAAAUCUAGUUAAAAAAAAAAAAAGAGAGUUGGCAUGAAGGAAGAUGUGGAGCAGAGAGAGACGGUCAGUGGAGACCCAAAUUGCAAAGAAAGGGACUUCAAACUGUAAGCCAUAUCUUCUGGUUUCUUGUGCUUCUCUUACUAUUCUUCAUAUGGUUAUCUCUCAAAUCAUUUGAUGGCUUCGCAUUAGUUAUUGUAUCUUUCCCAUCAUAGAGGUAAGUGGUCUCUCUGUAUCAUGCUAUGAUGAGAAAGGGUGUAUCUUCCGCAUUAUUUAUUUAUGCUUGGCAUUAGUUAUUGUAUCUUCUCAAUUUAUGCUUAGCAUGGUUUCUUGGUUCUUUAGGGGGAGGUCAAGAAUGUUCUCAGGGUUGGUCAGAAGUGUUUGAAAGGGCAAGGCAGUGCAAAGCUCAAGAAGAUUGCAGAACAUACUCAGAAGCUGCAAGUCAUGUAGCAGACCAGAUCUUUGCAGGCAUCUGAGGCAAGUGAAAAAAGUUUUGUUCUUGCUCUCUCAUUCUUCAAUCUUCCUGGCAUCCAGGCAUUGUUUCUUCCACCUCCAGUCCUUCAUCAAAGGGUUGAGGAGAGAGUCUGACAAUAUCAUCAGAGGCCAGUAAGGUAGUCAAAGGCUUCGGAUUCAUAAAUACUUGAGAGUUCUGCUUUAUAAGGUUCUGGAAAAGAGUUGUAGUAAGGACACCUGGAGAUUUGGGUGAAGAUUUUUGUGAAACAGAAGUCCAAGAUGUCACCUCUUCUAUAUCAGAAUCCUCAUUGCCGUAGGUAUUAGCAAUGGCCAUAACAGCUUUUAGAGCUUCAUUUACUAAGCCCCCUUUCUUUUUGGAUGAUUGACCAUCUGUGUCAACUGGAGGAUCAGGAUCAAGUUGCUUCUCAGUACCAAGAGCUUUUAAAAUGCCUAAGAUCAGCAUUUUUAAAAGAAAACUGGACAAAAACGAAAUAGAACAAAGAGAAAUGGAAAGAAACGAACAGAAGAGAGGAAGAAGAGAGGAGGAAGAGAGAGAAUGAGGUUCAGAUCUAGGAGGCUUGUGGCCACUGUGAGCACGGCUACACAACAGGGAAUUAUUGGUAGAACUUAUUGAGAAGUUAAUGAACAAGCCAAGUUUUAUUUUGUACAAGGAGAGCCCUUUUGGUACCAAAGGAUUGAGGUCCAGGUGAAGGAACCGGUGGAGGAUGGGGAAAGGAGCAGAGCUAGGGGUUGUGUGUGAAUUGUAAAGAACUGCAAUCCCUUUCUUUUGAGCAAUUCUAUUGUUUUGUAUUUAGGAUUAGGGUGCCAGUAGGAUGUGAUUAUGCAUAUGUGUGUGAGUAUAUGUGGAUUGUAUGGCUUGUGUAUAAAUUUUUUGUUUGCUUGUGGACUUAUGGUCAGAAAACUUAGCUAUGGUAUGUCGUUUUGAUGGAUUUAUUUAGUAAAUCAAGUUUCCACUGCACGAAAA